RNAcentral lists this ribosomal RNA (253 nucleotides) under uncultured bacterium. RNAcentral's name for it is "partial 16S ribosomal RNA". It matches the Rfam family "Bacterial small subunit ribosomal RNA", at positions 524 to 776 of the family's 1533-position model. The record is from RNAcentral.
UACGAAGGGGGCUAGCGUUGCUCGGAAUCCCUGGGCGUAAAGGGCGCGUAGGCGGAUCUUUACGUCGGGGGUGAAAGCCUGUGGCUCAACCACAGAAUUGCCUUCGAUACUGGGGAUCUCGAGACCGGAAGAGGUGAGUGGAACUGCGAGUGUAGAGGUGAAAUUCGUAGAUAUUCGCAAGAACACCAGUGGCGAAGGCGGCUCACUGGUCCGGUUCUGACGCUGAGGCGCGAAAGCGUGGGGAGCAAACAGG